AUAUCAAUAAGCGGAGGAAAAGAAACCAACAGGGAUUGCCCCAGUAGCGGCGAGCGAAGCGGCAAAAGCUCAGAUUUGAAAUCUGGCUGCCAUGCGGCGGCCCGAGUUGUAAUCUGCAGGGGAGUAUUCUGGUCGACGUGUCCCGCCUAAGUCCCCUGGAAUGGGGCGCCACAGAGGGUGAGAGCCCCGUGAGGCGGAGCGCGCCGGCCUAUAUGAAUCUCCUCCGACGAGUCGAGUAGUUUGGGAAUGCUGCUCUAAGCGGGAGGUAUAUUCCUUCUAAAGCUAAAUACCGGCUGGAGACCGAUAGCGCACAAGUAGAGUGAUCGAAAGGUGAAAAGCACUUUGGAAAGAGGGUGAAAUAGUAC
RNAcentral lists this ribosomal RNA (365 nucleotides) under uncultured fungus. RNAcentral describes it as "eukaryotic LSU rRNA". It matches the Rfam family "Eukaryotic large subunit ribosomal RNA", at positions 40 to 398 of the family's 3401-position model. The record is from RNAcentral. Lineage: Eukaryota; Fungi.